RNAcentral lists this ribosomal RNA (662 nucleotides) under uncultured bacterium. RNAcentral describes it as "bacterial SSU rRNA". It matches the Rfam family "Bacterial small subunit ribosomal RNA", at positions 22 to 685 of the family's 1533-position model. The record is from RNAcentral.
GCUCAGGAUGAACGCUGGCGGCGUGCUUAACACAUGCAAGUCGAACGGGAAAUAUUUCAUUGAGACUUCGGUGGAUUUGAUUUAUUUCUAGUGGCGGACGGGUGAGUAACGCGUGGGUAACCUGCCUUAUACAGGGGGAUAACAGUCAGAAAUGGCUGCUAAUACCGCAUAAGCGCACAGAGCUGCAUGGCUCGGUGUGAAAAACUCCGGUGGUAUAAGAUGGACCCGCGUUGGAUUAGCUUGUUGGUGGGGUAACGGCCCACCAAGGCGACGAUCCAUAGCCGGCCUGAGAGGGUGAACGGCCACAUUGGGACUGAGACACGGCCCAGACUCCUACGGGAGGCAGCAGUGGGGAAUAUUGCACAAUGGGGGAAACCCUGAUGCAGCGACGCCGCGUGAAGGAAGAAGUAUCUCGGUAUGUAAACUUCUAUCAGCAGGGAAGAUAGUGACGGUACCUGACUAAGAAGCCCCGGCUAACUACGUGCCAGCAGCCGCAGUAAUACGUAGGGGGCAAGCGUUAUCCGGAUUUACUGGGUGUAAAGGGAGCGUAGACGGUGUGGCAAGUCUGAUGUGAAAGGCAUGGGCUCAACCUGUGGACUGCAUUGGAAACUGUCAUACUUGAGUGCCGGAGGGGUAAGCGGAAUUCCUAGUGUAGCGGUGAC